Molecule: ribosomal RNA, 468 nt
Filed under: uncultured bacterium
Lineage: Bacteria
Description: partial 16S ribosomal RNA
Rfam family: Bacterial small subunit ribosomal RNA
Source: RNAcentral
GACGAACGCUGGCGGCGUGCUUAACACAUGCAAGUCGAACGGAAAGGCCCUGCUUUUGUGGGGUGCUCGAGUGGCGAACGGGUGAGUAACACGUGAGUAACCUGCCCUUGACUGUGGGAUAACUUCAGGAAACUGGGGCUAAUACCGGAUAGGAGCUCCUGCUGCAUGGUGGGGGUUGGAAAGUUUCGGCGGUUGGGGAUGGACUCGCGGCUUAUCAGCUUGUUGGUGGGGUAGUGGCUUACCAAGGCUUUGACGGGUAGCCGGCCUGAGAGGGUGACCGGCCACAUUGGGACUGAGAUACGGCCCAGACUCCUACGGGAGGCAGCAGUGGGGAAAAUUGCACAAUGGGCGGAAGCCUGAUGCAGCAACGCCGCGUGCGGGAUGACGGCCUUCGGGUUGUAAACCGCUUUCGCCUGUGACGAAGCGUGAGUGACGGUAAUGGGUAAAGAAGCACCGGCUAACUACGUG